AUUGAACGCUGGCGGCAGGCUUAACACAUGCAAGUCGAGCGAGCGGCGGACGGGUGAGUAAUGUCUGGGAAACUGCCUGAAGGAGGGGGAUAACUCCUGGAAACGGUAGUUAAUACCGCAUACCAUCAGAUGUGCCAAGAUGGGAUUAGCUAGUGGGUGGGGUAAUGGCUAACCUAGGCGACGCGCCCUAGCUGGUCUGAGAGGCUGAACAGCCACACUGGAACUGAGACACGGUCCAGACUCCUACGGGAGGCAGCAGUGGGGAAUAUUGCACAAUGGGCGCAAGCCUGAUGCAGCCAUGCCGCGUGUGUGAUGAAGGCCUUCGGGUUGUAAAGCACUGUCAGCGAGGAGGCGUUACUCGCAGAAGAAGCACCGGCUAACUCCGUGCCAGCAGCCGCGGUAAUUC
This 406-nucleotide ribosomal RNA is filed under the name uncultured bacterium. RNAcentral describes it as "partial 16S ribosomal RNA". It matches the Rfam family "Bacterial small subunit ribosomal RNA", at positions 30 to 526 of the family's 1533-position model. The record is from RNAcentral.